AGCUCAACCUCUGAGGGGAGGAAAUUCACCAUUCACCAUGUCUUCAGGCAGAGUCCAGCAAAGCAGCUUCCACUGGAAAUCCUCAGUGAGGUUAUUUGGUCAGCGGGUGACUCUGCAUAUUUGACACUUUCUCUGGUUUGCAGAUGGUUUAGGGAUGUGCUCCGAAGUUUUUCGGAAAGCGGCACAGUUUGUCUGGCUAGACAUUGUGGCCAACUGGAAGAAUUGUCCUCCUGUCUACUGACCGGAACGAGUUCAGACGGAUGUACUGCAUCAGGGAAUGCUUGCAGUGCAGAGCCCUUUUCAAGUUUAACCCACCAGGGUACAGGGAAGAGAUCGGCGUGGUGAUCUUCUGG
Carassius gibelio (silver crucian carp) is the source of this 353-nucleotide long non-coding RNA. RefSeq lists it as uncharacterized. The record is from RefSeq and is a predicted model, not a curated record. Lineage: Eukaryota; Metazoa; Chordata; Actinopteri; Cypriniformes; Cyprinidae. The transcript has 3 exons.